Molecule: long non-coding RNA, 293 nt
Filed under: Mus spicilegus (steppe mouse)
Lineage: Eukaryota; Metazoa; Chordata; Mammalia; Rodentia; Muridae
Description: lncRNA (ENSMSIG00000027761.1)
Source: RNAcentral
UACAGAGGCAUGUAGCUUUGCAACCUUCUUUAACAACUGGAUCUUCACAGGUUACCAUCUUCUUCAGAUCUAUACAGGUAGAAUGAUCACCUUCAUGUCCACAACUAUUGGUGCACAGCCCAUCUUCAGAGUGAUCAGGACAACUGGCACAUGGUACUCCUACUGUGUAUGAAUUCAAAAGCUGAAUAUAUCCAAGGCAUGAGGGUAAUACAAACAUGGAAGGACAGGUACAUUUUUUUUCUGUUGAUAAAAAAUCCUCUUAAAAACAAAAAAUGAUAGAAAGAUUAUGAAGA